AGUGAACGCUGGCGGUAGGCCUAACACAUGCAAGUCGAACGGCAGCACAGGAGAGCUUGCUCUCUGGGUGGCGAGUGGCGGACGGGUGAGGAAUACAUCGGAAUCUACUCUGUCGUGGGGGAUAACGUAGGGAAACUUACGCUAAUACCGCAUACGACCUACGGGUGAAAGCAGGGGACCUUCGGGCCUUGCGCGAUUGAAUGAGCCGAUGUCGGAUUAGCUAGUUGGCGGGGUAAAGGCCCACCAAGGCGACGAUCCGUAGCUGGUCUGAGAGGAUGAUCAGCCACACUGGAACUGAGACACGGUACAGACUCCUACGGGAGGUCACAGUGGUGAAUAUUGGACAAUGGGCGCAAGCCUGUUCCAGCCAUACCGCGUGGGUGAAGAAGGCCUUCGGGUUGUAAAGCCCUUUUGUUGGGAAAGAAAUCCAGCUGGCUAAUACCCGGUUGGGAUGACGGUACCCAAAGAAUAAGCACCGGCUAACUUCGUGCCAGCCGCCGCCGUAA
RNAcentral lists this ribosomal RNA (506 nucleotides) under uncultured bacterium. RNAcentral describes it as "partial 16S ribosomal RNA". It matches the Rfam family "Bacterial small subunit ribosomal RNA", at positions 29 to 523 of the family's 1533-position model. The record is from RNAcentral.